CUUCUUUAAUCCAGAUUAUCGCCUUUGCUUUGGAAGGCAAACAUUCCAGAUCCACACGUCGACCUAAGUCUUCAAAUUACCAGAAGCUGGAACAACAUAUGUGAUCCAAAGCUGCCCAGAGGAGAUGAGAAAACGGCUUUCGUAGAUGGCGAGUGGAUACAAAUCAUGGAUCUGCACUAAG
Poecilia latipinna (sailfin molly) is the source of this 181-nucleotide long non-coding RNA. RefSeq lists it as uncharacterized. The transcript has 2 exons. The record is from RefSeq and is a predicted model, not a curated record. NCBI's taxonomy places the organism in Eukaryota, Metazoa, Chordata, Actinopteri, Cyprinodontiformes, Poeciliidae.